UACGUAUGGGCGAAGCGUUAUCCGGAAUUAUUGGGCGUAAAGAGUGCGUAGGUGGUUACCUAAGCGCAAGGUUUAAUCUUGAGGCUCAACCUCAUUCUGCCUUGCGAACUGGGCUACUUGAGUGCUGGAGGGGAAAGCGGAAUUCCCAGUGUAGCGGUGAAAUGCGUAGAUAUUGGGAAGAACACCGGUGGCGAAGGCGGCUUUCUGGACAGUAACUGACACUGAGGCACGAAAGCGUGGGGAGGCGAAACAGGAUUAGAUACCCGGGUAGGUCCCUGA
RNAcentral lists this ribosomal RNA (279 nucleotides) under uncultured prokaryote. RNAcentral describes it as "partial 16S ribosomal RNA". It matches the Rfam family "Bacterial small subunit ribosomal RNA", at positions 524 to 800 of the family's 1533-position model. The record is from RNAcentral.